Non-coding RNA from Grus americana (Whooping crane), 633 nucleotides. The record is from the annotation of a RefSeq genome assembly. NCBI's taxonomy places the organism in Eukaryota, Metazoa, Chordata, Aves, Gruiformes, Gruidae.
AUGAAGGGGUCUGUCCCAAUGUCUGGGACUGGGGGGCAGAAGGGCCUUGCUGCUGCCCUGCGCCAUGUGCCCAGACCUGUCUGCAGCUGGUGCUGCCCCGGCCCCAUUGUGCGCUGGGUGGUGCAGGCAGGAUGCAGCCCUGAGCACGGGCUCAGAUUUCCACAGAGGGGCCGAGCCUGGGCGGGCAGGGGCUUAAAAGGGAGUUGGGGUCUGCAGAACAGCCCCGUCACCGUGGAGACACGGAGCUGGUGGGAUUGCACCUUGGCCUGGGCCCCUCUUCUCGCCGUGGUGCUCGUCCACAGCUCAGGUUCCCUGGUCCACGCAGCGGUGACUCAGCCGCCCUUGGUGUCAGCAAACCUGGGACAAACCGUCCAGAUCACCUGCUCUGGGAUUAGCAGCAGCAGCAGCUACAGCAACAAUGCUGGCUGGUACCAGCAGAAGGUUCCUGGCACUGCCCCUGUCACUGUGAUCUAUGCUGACACCAACAGACCCUCGGGCAUCCCUUCGCGAUUCUCCGGCUCCAAAUCCGGCUCCACGGCCACGUUAACCAUCACUGGGGUCCAAGCCGAGGACGAGGCUGUCUAUUACUGUGGUGGCAUCGACAGCAGCAGCUGUGGUGUCUGGGGACAAUGA